GCGGCUUUUGAGGAUGUCCUUUGUCCGUAUCAUCAUGCCAUUCGUUCCUGAUGGAAGCGAAGAGGAAACAAAGACUAGUC
This 80-nucleotide telomerase RNA is filed under the name Alternaria alternata. RNAcentral's name for it is "Ascomycota telomerase RNA". It matches the Rfam family "Ascomycota telomerase RNA", at positions 1285 to 1381 of the family's 1858-position model. The record is from Rfam by way of RNAcentral. Lineage: Eukaryota; Fungi; Ascomycota; Dothideomycetes; Pleosporales; Pleosporaceae. RNAcentral also lists the same sequence under 1 other name.